This 74-nucleotide transfer RNA is filed under the name Vicugna pacos (alpaca). RNAcentral describes it as "tRNA-Gly (ACC) (tRNA-Gly-ACC-35-1)". It matches the Rfam family "tRNA". Rfam says of the family: Transfer RNA (tRNA) molecules are approximately 80 nucleotides in length. Their secondary structure includes four short double-helical elements and three loops (D, anti-codon, and T loops). Further hydrogen bonds mediate the characteristic L-shaped molecular structure. tRNAs have two regions of fundamental functional importance: the anti-codon, which is responsible for specific mRNA codon recognition, and the 3' end, to which the tRNAs corresponding amino acid is attached (by aminoacyl-tRNA synthetases). tRNAs cope with the degeneracy of the genetic code in two manners: having more than one tRNA (with a specific anti-codon) for a particular amino acid; and 'wobble' base-pairing, i.e. permitting non-standard base-pairing at the 3rd anti-codon position. The record is from RNAcentral. Lineage: Eukaryota; Metazoa; Chordata; Mammalia; Artiodactyla; Camelidae.
GGAGGGUAUAGCUCAAGUGGUAGAGCCCAUGCUUACCAUGCAUGAGGUCCUGGGUUCAAUCCCCAGUACCUCCU